Molecule: ribosomal RNA, 465 nt
Filed under: Vreelandella stevensii
Lineage: Bacteria; Pseudomonadati; Pseudomonadota; Gammaproteobacteria; Oceanospirillales; Halomonadaceae
Description: partial 16S ribosomal RNA
Rfam family: Bacterial small subunit ribosomal RNA
Source: RNAcentral
CCUACGGGUGGCUGCAGUGGGGAAUAUUGGACAAUGGGGGCAACCCUGAUCCAGCCAUGCCGCGUGUGUGAAGAAGGCCCUCGGGUUGUAAAGCACUUUCAGUGAGGAAGAACGCCUGGUGGUUAAUACCCAUCAGGAAAGACAUCACUCACAGAAGAAGCACCGGCUAACUCCGUGCCAGCAGCCGCGGUAAUACGGAGGGUGCGAGCGUUAAUCGGAAUUACUGGGCGUAAAGCGCGCGUAGGUGGCUUGAUAAGCCGGUUGUGAAAGCCCCGGGCUCAACCUGGGAACGGCAUCCGGAACUGUCAAGGUAGAGUGCAGGAGAGGAAGGUAGAAUUCCCGGUGUAGCGGUGAAAUGCGUAGAGAUCGGGAGGAAUACCAGUGGCGAAGGCGGCCUUCUGGACUGACACUGACACUGAGGUGCGAAAGCGUGGGUAGCAAACAGGAUUAGAUACCCUGGUAGUC